AACCUGACCUCUCGGCAGGUGUCCCAACUCUAUUUGCUUACCCUCUCUCACAUUUCUACUCUGGAGGAAGGCUAAGUAUUUCCUACUUUCAGUCCUGAGUGUUUAAUCCACCAAGGGAGAGAAUUUAGCCCGAGAAGGUAAGGUCAAGAUGCUUUGCCCGCUGUUCUUGAUCCUUCCCCUCCUGGGAAAUCGAGUCCCUGUUAUUCAAGAUCUGAAAAUGAACCUAUACGAUCCAAUUGAGGCAACAGAAUUUAUAUGAAGAUGACAACCUGCUCCCCUGAAAUACAUCAUCAUUCACCCAGACUAUUCUGACUUCAUGGCAAGCUCUGAUCUUGCUCGGCUAAAGCUUCAGUCCCUUUGUACAUUUGACCAAGACUGUCCAACCCAUCAUUCUCUCUGCAGUCUCACAGACCUUUACCCCAGACAUGGAAUUUGGGAGGGACUGGCUGGGGGAACAUUGAAUCUGGAGUGCAUCUGCCCCCUCCUCACACCUUAAAGUAAGUGCAGGUCCCUGUGAUGGAUGCCUUAACCUGUAACCAGAAAUACCAUCUGAAUUCCUCCAUUCCUGCAUCUGAGAAGAUUGUCCUUGACAACAUGACUUGUGCUGAUGAAGUUGACAAGAGCUUCUGCCAGGUCAUUCAGCUAAUAUGGAACACAGCUGGGAAGUGAAUCCUUGUCCCUUGGCUCUGGAGCAUCCUGAUAAAUGUUUAAGAACUAGCUCUCUGAAAGGUAUGACACAGUUUUAAGUUUAAUUGUUAUUUACCUUUUCAGCCCUUUCUUACUUCCAGAUAAUCAAUAAAACAAUAAACCAAGCCUUGACUUGUAGAGUUU
Molecule: long non-coding RNA, 831 nt
Organism: Antechinus flavipes (yellow-footed antechinus)
Lineage: Eukaryota; Metazoa; Chordata; Mammalia; Dasyuromorphia; Dasyuridae
Exons: 5
Source: RefSeq, a predicted model, not a curated record